GACGAACGCUGGCGGCGUGCUUAACACAUGCGAGUCGAACGGAAAGGCCUCUUUCGGGGGGUACUCGAGUGGCGAACGGGUGAGUAACACGUGAGUAACCUGCCCUUGACUUUGGGAUAACUUCAGGAAACUGGGGCUAAUACCGGAUAGGAGCUCCUGCUGCAUGGCGGGGGUUGGAAAGUUUCGGCGGUUGGGGAUGGGCUCGCGGCUUAUCAGCUUGUUGGUGGGGUAGUGGCUUACCAAGGCUUUGACGGGUAGCCGGCCUGAGAGGGUGACCGGCCACAUUGGGACUGAGAUACGGCCCAGACUCCUACGGGAGGCAGCAGUGGGGAAUAUUGCACAAUGGGUGGAAGCCUGAUGCAGCAACGCCGUGUGCGGGAUGACGGCCUUCGGGUUGUAAACCGCUUUCGCUCAUGACGAAGCUUUGUGUGACGGUAGUGGGUAAAGAAGCACCGGCUAACUACGUG
This 467-nucleotide ribosomal RNA is filed under the name uncultured bacterium. Its description in RNAcentral is "partial 16S ribosomal RNA". It matches the Rfam family "Bacterial small subunit ribosomal RNA", at positions 28 to 507 of the family's 1533-position model. The record is from RNAcentral.